This 1477-nucleotide ribosomal RNA is filed under the name Rummeliibacillus sp. TYF005. Its description in RNAcentral is "partial 23S ribosomal RNA". It matches the Rfam family "Bacterial large subunit ribosomal RNA", at positions 1 to 1471 of the family's 2925-position model. Lineage: Bacteria; Bacillati; Bacillota; Bacilli; Caryophanales; Caryophanaceae. The record is from RNAcentral.
AGGUUAAGUUAUUAAGGGCGCAUGGCGAAUGCCUUGGCACUAGAAGCCGAUGAAGGACGGCACUAACACCGAUAUGCUUCGGGGAGCUGUAAGUAAGCUAUGAUCCGGAGAUUUCCGAAUGGGGAAACCCACUGUUCGUAAUGGGACAGUAUCUUGACGUGAAUACAUAGCGUCUUGAUGGCAGACUCAGGGAACUGAAACAUCUAAGUACCUGAAGGAAGAGAAAGAAAUUUCGAUUCCCUUAGUAGCGGCGAGCGAAAUGGGAAGAGCCCAAACCAAGAGGCUUGCCUCUUGGGGUUGUAGGACACUCAAUACGGAGUUACAAAGGAAUGAGUUAGACGAAGCGGUUUGGAAAGACCCACCGAAGAAGGUAACAGUCCUGUAGUCAAAAGUUCAUUCUCUCCUGAGUGGAUCCUGAGUACGGCGGAACACGUGAAAUUCCGUCGGAAUCUGGGAGGACCAUCUCCCAAGGCUAAAUACUCUCUAGUGACCGAUAGUGAACCAGUACCGUGAGGGAAAGGUGAAAAGCACCCCGGAAGGGGAGUGAAAGAGAUCCUGAAACCAUGUGCCUACAAGUAGUUAGAGCCCGUUAAUGGGUGAUAGCGUGCCUUUUGUAGAAUGAACCGGCGAGUUACGAUUACAUGCAAGGUUAAGUUGAAAAGACGGAGCCGUAGCGAAAGCGAGUCUGAAUAGGGCGAAUGAGUAUGUGGUUGUAGACCCGAAACCAGGUGAUCUACCCAUGUCCAGGGUGAAGGUAAGGUAACACUUACUGGAGGCCCGAACCCACGCACGUUGAAAAGUGCGGGGAUGAGGUGUGGGUAGCGGAGAAAUUCCAAUCGAACUUGGAGAUAGCUGGUUCUCUCCGAAAUAGCUUUAGGGCUAGCCUCGUGAUAGAGAAUCUUGGAGGUAGAGCACUGUUUGAACUAGGGGUCCAUCCCGGAUUACCGAAUUCAGACAAACUCCGAAUGCCAAUGAUUUAUGCACGGGAGUCAGACUGCGAGUGAUAAGAUCCGUAGUCAAAAGGGAAACAGCCCAGACCACCAGCUAAGGUCCCAAAGUAAUUGUUAAGUGGAAAAGGAUGUGACGUUGCUUAGACAACCAGGAUGUUGGCUCAGAAGCAGCCACCAUUUAAAGAGUGCGUAAUAGCUCACUGGUCGAGUGACGCUGCGCCGAAAAUGUAUCGGGGCUAAACAAUUCACCGAAGCUGUGGAUAGACAUCUACGAUGUCUGUGGUAGGAGAGCGUUCUAAGUGCAGUGAAGUCAGACCGGAAGGACUGGUGGAGCGCUUAGAAGUGAGAAUGCCGGUAUGAGUAGCGAAAGAUGGGUGAGAAUCCCAUCCACCGAAUGACUAAGGUUUCCUGAGGAAGGCUCGUCCUCUCAGGGUUAGUCGGGACCUAAGCCGAGGCCGAUAGGCGUAGGCGAUGGAUAACAGGUUGAUAUUCCUGUACCACCUCCCUACCAUUUGAGUAAUGGGGGG